CUGCAACUCGACUCCAUGAAGCUGGAUUCGCUAGUAAUCGCGCAUCAGCCAUGGCGCGGUGAAUACGUUCCCAGGCCUUGUACACACCGCCCGUCAAGCCAUGGAAGCCGGGAGUGCCUGAAGUGUGCAACCGCAAGGAGCGCCCUAGGGUAAAACCGGUGACUGGGGCUAAGUCGUAACAAGGUACC
This 188-nucleotide ribosomal RNA is filed under the name uncultured bacterium. RNAcentral describes it as "partial 16S ribosomal RNA". It matches the Rfam family "Bacterial small subunit ribosomal RNA", at positions 1305 to 1500 of the family's 1533-position model. The record is from RNAcentral.